UACGUAGGGGGCAAGCGUUGUCCGGAAUCAUUGGGCGUAAAGAGCGCGUAGGCGGCCCGAUAAGUCCGCUGUGAAAGUCAAGGGCUCAACCCUUGAAUGCCGGUGGAUACUGUCGGGCUAGAGUCCGGAAGAGGCGAGUGGAAUUCCUGGUGUAGCGGUGAAAUGCGCAGAUAUCAGGAGGAACACCAAUGGCGAAGGCGGGUCUCUGGGCCGUAACUGACGCUGAGGAGCGAAAGCGUGGGGAGCGAACAGG
RNAcentral lists this ribosomal RNA (253 nucleotides) under uncultured bacterium. Its description in RNAcentral is "partial 16S ribosomal RNA". It matches the Rfam family "Bacterial small subunit ribosomal RNA", at positions 524 to 776 of the family's 1533-position model. The record is from RNAcentral.